Ornithorhynchus anatinus (platypus) is the source of this 968-nucleotide long non-coding RNA. RefSeq lists it as uncharacterized. NCBI's taxonomy places the organism in Eukaryota, Metazoa, Chordata, Mammalia, Monotremata, Ornithorhynchidae. The record is from RefSeq and is a predicted model, not a curated record. The transcript is spliced from 4 exons.
CCAGUGGACGGGAGAUGCAGAGACAGAAUAGAAAACAGCCACAGCACUGCAGGGGCCCAGCCGGCUGGUCUCUCUCGGCCCGUACAGAGCGUGAAGGGAGGACCGAUCACGGACCGAUCGCUGGACCGUCCAGCCGGAGUCUCGUCCGUAGGAGUCCCAACCACCCUCAGCAGAUCUAGAGACCAUCCAGAACUUCAAGGAGAGUCUGGCAGCUCCGGAGAAGUUCCAGAAUUGCAGGGAGAGUUCAGCAUCCUUGGAGAAGUCCAGAACCAUAGGGAGAAUCCAGCCGCUCCUGGGAGGAUCCAGAACUCCCGAGUCAUCUGUAGGAUCCGGACUCUCAAGACAGAGCAGAUGUGACCUCACGGAGCCCAGGAGCUGCCCCCAUCCCCGAUGGCCCAGAAGUCAUGUGGGAUAAGGGGAACCCCAUCUCUCUCUGUUUUUCCAUUCCAAGAUUCCCGCCCACUCUUCAGUCAGUGCUCUUUCCCCACCCAGCCCGAGCACCUUCCGGCUCUGAGCCACCCUCCAGGAUCAAAAUUCUGCCCUCGCGACAAGCAUCUGGCUCUGGGCGGCGGCCUCCGGGAAGGAGAGGAAGCGGAUGACGCUGAUGAUGGCGGAUGGGCUCCAGAGAACCCCGGGACCCGAGUGUGGAUAAAGGGAGAGGAGGAUUCGAAGACAGAGUCGAGGCAAUGGCCUGAGAGACGGGCAGUGGCGGCAGUGGUGUCCACCGUGGUCUGAGAAUCAGAAUCCAGCCAACAGCAGAGAAGUUUGGGAACCAAGCCAUCCAUCCUGUUCAUCACCUUGAGCUGGAGGCAGGGGGCUGGACCGAUUGGCCCUUCCCUGGAGGUCUCCUCCAGCUAUUUAAGUCCAAUGAUUCCCCAAAGGUUUUCCAGGUUUCGUGAAGAUUGAUUUAUUUCUCCCCUGGGGUCGAUGAGUUCAGGGAUCAUCUCUCUUUAUUGCUGUGUCGUACU